UUGAAAAUUCCAUUUUAUGCCGUUAAAUUUGCCAAUGGCUUAUCUGAAUUAUUAAAAUUGUUAUAGUUUAGUUUAUUCAAUCACUAGAUAAAUGAUAUCAAAAAUAAUUAUCAAAUCUAAAAGUCUCCUUAUCAAAAAUAAUUUAAAAGUACAAAAAUCUCCGUGUUUUUUAAACCAUAUAUAUAUAUAUAUAUAUAUAUAUAGAGAGAGAGAGAGAGAGAGAGAGAGAGAGAGAGAGUUGAGCUGAAAUGUUAUUAGUAGCAAACGGGCUUCUUUGUCACCCAUUUGUUUUCGAUAAUAGAACUUUCAAAUUGAUGAUCGGUAUUGUUGAAUAUGAUUUAUAUCACUUGAAGUAUCUAGAAAUUAAAUUACAAAUUAUUUCGAUAUCAUUUGCCUAAUAAUCAAAGGGUUUUAAAAUUAUAAUUUUAGUGGUCGAUAUAAGACGUUUUCUCGUUUAACGGUAUAAAGAUAUCCAAAUUAAUUGAAUUUUGGUUAUAAAAUUUUUUAAAUAAUUUAGAAGAUGAUCUAUCCUCUUGAUCUUACUCACAAGACUUCUAUCAUCACUUUUUAAAGAAUAUUCAUUUUAAGCCAUUCAUUAUUGUGUCCACUUAAUGGAAAAGAAAAUAAUAUCGAAAAAAUAUGAAAUUUAGUUUCUAGAUGCUUCAAGUGGUAUGAUCAUGUUCGACAGUGCCGACCGUCAAUUUGGAGGCUCCAUCAUAAAAACAAAUGGGUGGCAAAUAAGCCCGUUUACAACUAAUAGCAUUCCAGCUCCUCUCUCUCUCUCUCUCUCUCUCUCUAUAUAUAUAUAUAUAUAUAUAUAUAAAUAUAUAUAUAAAAUUAAACUCCUAUAUUUUUAAAAAUACUAAGUUAUUAGUGCUUGUAGAUUUUGGCUAUUAGAUUAUGGGAUAUAUAUAUAUAUAAUUGAGCUCUCAUAUUUUUAAAAGUAUCAAGUCAUUAGUGCUUUUAGGUUUUCGGCUCUUGAAUUGAGAGACGUGUGGUUAUAAUGAUAAUGGUCCCCAAGGAUUGAGUGAUUGGAUGGUUGAAUAAUAUGAUCUAACAGAUGAAAAUAGUCAAAUGAUUAGAUCUAACAAUAAAAAACUUACAAGCACAAUCCAAAUGCUUGAUACUUUUAAAAGCACAGUAGCCAAACUCUCUCUCUCUCUCCAUACAGUA
RNAcentral lists this long non-coding RNA (1173 nucleotides) under Ananas comosus (pineapple). RNAcentral's name for it is "long non-coding RNA (ACOM_LNC008315)". The record is from RNAcentral. Lineage: Eukaryota; Viridiplantae; Streptophyta; Magnoliopsida; Poales; Bromeliaceae.